Molecule: ribosomal RNA, 425 nt
Filed under: uncultured bacterium
Lineage: Bacteria
Description: bacterial SSU rRNA
Rfam family: Bacterial small subunit ribosomal RNA
Source: RNAcentral
GAAUCUUGGGCAAUGGGCGCAAGCCUGACCCAGCCAUGCCGCGUGUGUGAAGAAGGCCUUCGGGUUGUAAAGCACUUUCAGUGGUGAAGAAAAGCCAGGGGCUAAUACCUCCGGGUGCUGACGUUAACCACAGAAGAAGCACCGGCUAACUCCGUGCCCGCCGCCGCGGUAAUACGGAGGGUGCAAACGUUAAUCGGAAUUACUGGGCGUAAAGCGCGCGUAGGCGGUUCGAUAAGUGGGAUGUGAAAGCCCCGGGCUCAACCUGGGAACUGCAUUCCAAACUGUCGGGCUCGAGUAUGGUAGAGGGAGGUAGAAUUUCCUGUGUAGCGGUGAAAUGCGUAGAUAUAGGAAGGAAUACCAGUGGCGAAGGCGGCCUCCUGGACCAAUACUGAUGCUGAGGUGCGAAAGCGUGGGGAGCAAACAGG